Molecule: long non-coding RNA, 1787 nt
Organism: Uranotaenia lowii
Lineage: Eukaryota; Metazoa; Arthropoda; Insecta; Diptera; Culicidae
Exons: 5
Source: RefSeq, a predicted model, not a curated record
AUCCAAGUCUGCAAGAAGGUAAUGACGUGGAUUUUGUUGGCUCUGCAUGGAUCGCAGAAAACACGGUUUAAUUUAUAAUCGGUAGCCUCGCGAAGAUUCCAAAUCCGGAAUAAGCGCCUUGAUCACUUCCUUCGGUUCGGAAAAUACAGAGAUCGCCUUGGUGUACGAAAGAUGAACUGAUGCCUUUUCCGCUUCCUGUGAGUCCUAACCUGUGGUGACCCCGGCAUCCGGUUUGGGGCUGCAAAUUCUUAAUCCACCCAGCCUAAAUGGGCAAUGUACAGCACCACCGUGAUGUCCAGCACGGCAACAGCUGCAGGGGCUGCUAGCAAUACGGUAGAAUGUAUUUCAAUACCUCAUCUUCCAAUCUCCGAACGAUUGGCUCUGUGCAGUAUCCUAUUACGUAUGGGUCAAGCAACAGCUUUAGUGAUCCGAUUGCACCUUCCAGCAGACUCCGGCUGUACGACGACAACAGGCCACAGUGCCACCGCCUUUAAAAGCACCGUGGAAAUGCCAGGAGAUAACUUAAGCAGCAUAGUUUUCUUGGAUGUGCAGUUUGGCAAUUGGUACUUUGGUAAGGAUGACACUUUGUAUAGUAGUUUGAUGACAGAUAAGUUCAACGCCAAUAGUCUAUAACAGAACUCGUCAGCAUACUUGCAACCUGCAUUGGAAGUGUAGCCGACUAACCCGGAAGGUGAUUUACAAAGCAAAUCCAGCGAGAUGAACAACCUGCAAUCAAAAUCUAAUCUCAAUACUAGUUUGCAAAGCACGCAGAUUCUGCCCGGGCUGAUCGAUUUCCUUUCGAAUAGCUAUCUCAUCGCAAAAGCUCUACCACGGUUGCUUCCUUAGUUAGCACUGGUGUUUAUUUUAAUUCGAUUAACAGCUCAUCGUUAACACUGGAACAACUGACAAAGACUAAUCCUAUAGUCUGUCCUCUCGGAAUUAAUGCUGGUCCUGGUGAAUACCAGAACGUGUCGUACUCAACAUCAUCGCAGACGAAUGAAAUUUCCUAUCCAUCAUCUUCUGCGCUGCAAGAAUCUAAACUAGGUACUCUAGUUCAAAGGUGUCAACGAACACGUGCCCAACCGCAUCUAAAAAUAUAAUUCGUAUAAUCGAAGUGGAGUCGAUUCUUUCCAGCAGCCUAGCAGUAACGUGUCCAACACUGUUGUUUCCAAUGCUUCGGUUUGACUUCAGCACAUUUUCCAAAAAUGACAAGCCGAAGGCACUGGAUAUUCUGAAUAUUCAAGCUUAUCCAGUUGCUCGGAUACAUUUUUGCCCUACGCUCAAUGUACCGAGAGAAUCAAAGACCAAGAUGUAAAUACGGCUGGUCUGGUGCUAGCCAAGCCAGUUGCUGUGUAUCGGUACUACAAUGGAGGUCAGCGAAACGAUGCAAAGAACCAUAAAAAUUCGCCGGAACUGACGGAAGUUUCAGGAUUGGACUAACCGUAGCCAAUUUCGGUGAAAAUAGAGGGCCGCCGCUGCAUGUUAACAAUUAAGCUGGCCAACAUUAUGGGACACAUGGAUGAGCUUGUUACGACCAAUCUUUAACUGCACAAUUUUCUGUGAUUUCGCCUGCCUGAACUGGAAACUACGAAAGUUGUGUAUCCGCUGUGUCGUCAUCCCGGCAUCAUCGGUGCAGAUUUUUUAGCGAAUUGUACAAAAAAAGUCUUCCUAUCUCAAUUAAUUUACCAGCAUGUAGCUGACUGCUUUAGAAGAGAUAUAUGCUGCUGUUGAGGAUUUCAGAUUUGCUGUUUUAUUCCAAGUAGUGUUUUUAAUUAGAGUUUAGGGAU